GAAAUCUCAAGGCGCUCCUCAAGGCGUUACUUGCGAAAUACCUGUGAGGGAUCUGGAAUCUAAUACCUUGUGACAAACAACACUGCAAAAUGGCAGGCGUUGGAAUAAUAUUUCGCCUUCCCAAUGUAACCACUUUUCUCAUAUUAUUGUCUUCGAUUUCCACAAUAACGACAUCAAAUGAACGAAAGAAUGUCCUAGUAAUUAUUGGAGACGAUGCAGGCUUCGAAACGCAGGUGUACGAUAACAUGGUCUGCAAAACUCCAAAUUUAAACGCUUUGGGGAAACGCAGUGUAAUCUUCAGAAAAGCCUUCACUUCUGUAAGUAGCUGCUCUCCAAGCAGGUCUACUAUUCUAACAGGUCUUCCUCAACAUCAGAAUGGUAUGUAUGGUCUUCACCAGGAUGUUCAUCACUUUAAUUCAUUUGAUGCAGUUAGAAGUUUACCUUUGCUGCUACAAAAGGCAAAUGUAAGAACUGGAAUUAUUGGAAAGAAGCAUGUUGGACCUGAAACAGUUUAUCCAUUUGAAUUUGCUUACACAGAAGAAGGUCAUUCUAUACUUCAAGUUGGCCGCAACAUCACUUACAUUAAAGAACUGACACACACGUUUUUCCAAGGAUCUCAGAAAGACUCACGUCCUUUCUUUUUAUACAUUGGCUUUCAUGAUCCCCAUCGAUGUGGACAUACCCAUCCUGAAUUUGGAAGCUUUUGUGAGAAGUUUGGAAAUGGUGAAACAGGCAUGGGGCUUAUUCCUGACUGGAAGCCAUUACACUACUCACCAGAGGAUGUGAUUGUACCAUAUUUUAUACAAGAUACUCCAGCAGCUAGACAAGACAUUGCCAACCAGUAUACAACAAUUAGUCGCCUUGAUCAGGGCAUUGGGCUUAUCUUAGAGGAGCUUCGGCAGGCAGGCUUUGAAGACAACACCUUAGUCAUAUACAGCUCUGAUAAUGGCAUACCAUUCCCAACUGGUCGAACAAACCUGUUUGAUCCAGGCAUGGCAGAGCCAUACCUUGUAUCAUCACCUUACACCCCUGAACGUUGGGGCCAGGAGAGUGAUGCUAUGGUCAGUCUACUGGAUAUAGUUCCUACAGUUCUGGAUUGGUUUGGACUUGAUUACCCCUCAUACAAGCUGUUGGGACCCAAUCCUGUACAGUUAACAGGGAAGUCAGUGUUACCUAUAUUAAAAAAGGAACCACAAUCUGGUUGGGAUACAGUCUAUGCUAGCCACAACUUACAUGAAGUGACAAUGUAUUAUCCAAUGAGAGUCAUUCGAAGUACAUCCUUUAAACUGAUACAUAACCUCAACUACAAGAUGCCAUUUCCUAUUGAUCAAGACUUCUUUGUCUCACCCACUUAUCAAGAUCUUCUGAAUCGCACAGAGGAGGGUGAGCCAACCAGAUGGUUUCGCACACUUGAUCAGUAUUAUUAUCGACCUCAGUGGGAACUUUAUGAUCUUAAAAGUGACCCAGAGGAGCUGACAAACCUCUAUGGUAAACCUGCCUAUCAGGAUGUUGUCAUGGAGUUACACGGCAAGCUAAGUGCAUGGCAAAAUGAAACAGAUGACCCAUGGAUUUGUUCACCAAGCAGUGUUCUAGAAAACAGAGGAAGAUAUCCCACCACAGGUGUGUGUUUGUCAAUGGACAAUGGCACUUGAUUUAAAAAAAAAAUCUGAAAUUUUUGUACUGGUAAUUUUUGUAGCUAUUUUUGAAAAUUUGACAAAAUUCUCUUCACUGCUUGUUUCAAGAAGGUAAAGAGAUUGAAAGUGAAUUUUUGUUAUGGCUGGGGGACAAUAGUGAAUUGGUUUUUUACAGGAUAAGUUUUGUAAUUAAAUUUUUUACCAAGUAGACCAUAGCUUACUAAAAAGGCUGUCAGUAGUGCUCAAGAAAAUUAUCACAGCAUCGCCACAGCAAUGACUAUCAGUUGGGGAAUAAAAGUGAACCUUGUUUGAAAUUUCACGCAUCUUUCUUAACUGAAAACUGCAAAACUUUUGCCAUUCAUUUCAGCUGAAGUUAUAAAAUUAAUGAUUCUGCAGGACAUGAGCUGACUUUCAUUCAAUCAACUUUAGCUUCUCACAAAUCCUUGUAUUCCCUAUUAACUAAAAUGUGGGGUUGAAACAUGUAUCUUCCUCUCUUGGAGUCAUGCAGGAAUUUUCAUCAAGGUCUGCAAGAUUUGACCCGGAAAACACAACAGGUACCAGCAAUUAAAAAAAAGAAAAAAGAUUGAGGCACAGUUUGUGUGGGAUGUUUCUCCAAUGAUUAGACCCCACCUACAUUAUGUGACUGUUUGAAAAGUUCUAGAACAGAAUUCUUUCACUCAGUGUGAAUUUUGCACAUGGACUUCACAGUUGGCAUCCCCUUGAAGGCUUUGUUGAUUGUCACUUAAGGAACUAUUGUAAGAAUCAUAAUAAUAAGGGGUGUUUUGUCUCUCCCAUCAUAGUGGGAACACUGAAUAUCAAUUUGGACAGAGUACUUAUUAUAGUUUCAGUCAUUACCAAAGAAAAUGAUUGAACUUAAUUGUAUGAUUGUGUCUCAGAUUUUCAAUGUGGUAACGAGAAUGCAAAAUCUAGCAUGAAAUAAAUGCAUUCAUUCGGACAUAAUUAUGCUCCUUCAUUAUAAUGUGACCAGUGAACAUCUCAGCUUCAGUAAUUUGCGAAUGUUGAUCCUCCAAGAAAGCUACCAUCAGUCAAGGAGCUUUCCUAAGCCUGACUUUUCUCCAUCAGAUCUUAACAUCCUUCUGUUUAAGAUUAUAAUACUUAAGGGGCUGGUGGGAAUUAACCUACCAACCCAAUUCCAUUUCCUUGCAAGUUUUUUAAAAGGCCUUUAUACUGACACUCAAGUCUUGCAGAAAGACACUUUCUACCUUAUUGGACAAACCCAAUAAAAUGCUGGAAUUGGCAUUUUAUUUAGGGUGAAUGGAAGUUUCAGUGGUAAUUUCCUUUGGCAGAGGCAAGAACAAGAUCCACCAAAUAUGGGUGCAAGUACCCCCCUGGCAGAAGAAACUGGAAAUAUCUCAAACAAGUUUAUACAUGACCCCAGGUGAUUAUGAAAAGAAGCUCAUAACUUCCUAAGCCAUGGAAUUGGGUGAUUAUUUAAUUAUGGUGUGACACAGGCUAAGUAGAUGUCUAGUUAAUGCUCUUAGAGGAUUUCGUCAUGUUUACAAAUAUCCCAGGGUAAUGAUUAUCCUAAGGUAUUAUCUUCAUGAUAAUGUUACUUCCUGUGUGUACAACUGCAAUGACAUGUAGAAUGAAUUUCCAAAACGGCUUUUUUAUGAGGUGUUGCUUUUCGAUAUCCAUCAUUCAGCAAAACAAGAUCCAAGUCCUUUAAAAUUUUCACUGCAUCAUGGCUAGAGUGUUAUGUCUGGUUGUUUGAUAUCCACUUCCAUUAUAUUUUACUUUUGGUAUUACAUUGAGAAAACUUCAUCUUAAUAACAAGAGAAAGCUCUCUGUAGAAAAUUUCAUACAAAAAUUUCUAGCCUUCUUCAUGAAAAAUUCUAAAACUUUUAACAUCGGGUGAAAAUAGACCUGGUUGUCUCUUCAGUUGUGAUAUUAUUCAAAGCAGAAUAUACUUAGAUCUCUCACAUCUGACAUAAUUGAUCUUUGACAGCUUUAUUUGAAGCAGCUGUCAUUCUGUUUAAUUUCAACAAUCACAGAACAUUCUGCUUUAAUUCCUCUCUAGUUUGCUUGGACAGUUCAGAAAAUGAAACUCCCACCAUCACAAAAAUCAAAUCUUUAUAGCACUUAAACUGUUCAGAUUUUUAGCUAUCAGUUCAGAAAGGUCCAUAAAUCUUCACUAGCAAUCAAUGUACAUUAUGUUGAGCACACAAAUAAAUGUCAAAAUUUUA
RNAcentral lists this unclassified non-coding RNA (3838 nucleotides) under Stylophora pistillata. RNAcentral describes it as "n-sulphoglucosamine sulphohydrolase-like, transcript variant X4". The record is from RNAcentral. Lineage: Eukaryota; Metazoa; Cnidaria; Anthozoa; Scleractinia; Pocilloporidae.